GUGCUCGCUUCGGCAGCAUAUAUACUAAAAUUGGAACGAUACAGAGAAGAUUAGCAUGGCCCCUGCGCAAGGAUGACACACAAAUCUACCCCCAGGCUGAUCCACGUAUCU
This is a small nuclear RNA of Lutra lutra (Eurasian river otter), 111 nucleotides long. Lineage: Eukaryota; Metazoa; Chordata; Mammalia; Carnivora; Mustelidae. The record is from RefSeq and is a predicted model, not a curated record.